AACCAAAAUGCACCCCGCUGAGAGUAUUGAGAAGCAAUGCACCAAAGAAUUUGUACCCAGAUUUCCUACAACUUUGAAAUCGAUGGCUGAAAAUUCAACUAGACAACCACCAACCCGAUCGGACGGUCCAUGUUAUAUGGAUCCGCUGGCUUCAACGCGCGACCGACCGAUCCCACCUCCACCCCGCGCAGCAAGCCCCUCAACCGGGCAACGUUCGAAUCCCACGAACAACAAAUCUUGCGGCCCUAUUCUGAAAAUCUAGCGCGGCCCUCACUCCCGCGCGUCUCCUGCAAACCUCGCCGCCAACCUCCCGUGCGAGCCCCGCCCUGCGCCUCCCGCUGAACUGCCGCGCGCCUCCCCUCCACCGGCCUGCGGGCUCGGAGCCGGCGGCCAGAGUGCCGCGCACUUCCCCUCCACCGGCCUGCGGCCUCGGACGCCGCCGCCGGGACGCGCACCGCCUCCGGGACGCGCGCCGCCUGCGGGCUCGGCUGCCGCCGCCGGCGCGCGCGUAGGCGCAGGUUUGGGGCGCCGCCGCUGGCACACGCGCGGGUUGCGGGCUCCACACGACGCCGCCGGCCGCGUCGAGACGACCCUAAACCCCCCUCGCGACCCUAACCUAAUCUGAUUCCCCCCCGAACCCUAACCCCCCUGACCUCCCGUUUCCUUCGCAGGAUCCAGCCGCGGCCGGCGGCUCCGCCGCGACAAGGACGAGCUCCCCUCCGACAGCACCUCCGGCUCCGACUUUAUCGCCGACUCCGAGGAUGAGGUGGGAGACGACGACGACAAGGGGUUCGCGCCCGAUGAGGACGCCCCGCCCACGAUGGCUGCGCCGCCACCCCGCCGAUGCUGAUGCCGGUGGGGGGGGGGGUGCCGAAUCGGGCACGGAACUGCGCUCCUCCGCUGCACGCGGUGACCCGCCGCUGCAGGCCCUCAACCAGAUCUAGAAUCGGGAGGGGCGGGGGCGGAGAUCCAGGGCGGGGACGCGCCGUGCUGCCUCGCCUGCCCGCGCAGGAGCCGCGUUGCUCACCCGAGCGCGAGCAGCCGCGUGCCCCCACCCCUCCCAACGGCAGCCGUGUGCAGGCCCAGCCGGCCGCGGCCCUCCGCUGGCCACGCGGCCGUGCGCAGGCACAUGGUGCCCCGCCACUGCAGCCGCGCCCUUCUGCUUGCCUGCAUGCACGCCCCGCCGGCCACGCGCAGCUGGGUUUUCGCCGUCCGGGAGACCGGGACUCCCGCAGCUGGGUUUUCAUCUUCUCCGCCGUGGGUGACAUGCUGCUCAAGCUGGGAAGCCGGUGCCUCCGGUUAGUCACAGCAAAAGCAGUAUGCGUGGAGCCGCAUCCCAGCAGGCAAGAUGGGGACUUUUCUCUCUGCGUGAGCACCUGCAGCACAAUGGAACGUAUCUGCUCGUGUGAGAAGGUUUAGGUUGUUUAGGAGAAGAGAAGAACACCAAGCAAGCGGCUAAUUGUUAGGGUAACAGCAAUUAGCUCAUUCACCGCAUCGAGCUUGGCUGGUCAUGUACUAAUUAUUUUUCAAAGGGACAUGCUCUUGUGAACAAGGCCAUGGGACUGUUGCAUUGCCCACAAAGUGUUUUCUGGUGCGCAAUGGGGAACGGGGUUUGGCUGAGAGACUUGAUGCUGAUUAAAAGUUAUGCUGUGAACACUGAGAUGAGAGGCAAGAAUCCCUGAAGCAAACGUCCAUUCGCAGGCUUCCAUUAGUUUCCUGCUUUCACAUAAAGAGAUUUGAGAACUGCUGAGCAAAAGUUCAGUUUCAUUUGAUGAUAUUUAUUGGUAGCCUUUUCACAACCUUGACAAAGACAUACAAAGAUGAAGCCAUAUGAAUAUGGAUUCCGUGUGUUAUUGUUGAUAUUCUGUUAUGUUAUGGUCUCACUGGGAAGUUCGCUGAUACAGCUACAAGCAGAUUUAUAUUGAUUGCUCUUUGUCUAGCAAUUCUUAAGAUGAUACAUCAAAAUUAAAUGUAUGAUCCCAUAAAGUUGUGAUUUUACUCUAUGCAUAUGGUUGUCCUUUGUGUAAAGCAAAUAUUUUUCAGUUUGAACUAUGGAACAAAUUAUGGAUCAUGUGUUGUUUA
This is a long non-coding RNA of Panicum virgatum (switchgrass), 2082 nucleotides long. RefSeq lists it as uncharacterized. NCBI's taxonomy places the organism in Eukaryota, Viridiplantae, Streptophyta, Magnoliopsida, Poales, Poaceae. The transcript has 5 exons. The record is from RefSeq and is a predicted model, not a curated record.